CUUGAAACCAUCAGUGUUACGGUUCAGAGUGCGAUAGGCAGUGGGCGUUAACCUCCAGCAGCAACUAAAACCAUGCUAAAACUCCUCUUCUCCAGCUUCUAAAGUUAGGCUGAGUACAACCCAGCCUAUAAAUCUCUAGUGUUCAUCAUUUGGAACCACAUUAGUUGUGAAUUUGUCCAAGUUUGAGUUUCAAGACGACCCUACAACACUUUUAUAUGCCUUGAAGACCCAAAUUCCAACAUCAUCAGGCAAAUACAUGAAAGAAAUAACUUCAGAAAGAUUAUGGGAUCCCUAUAUAAGUUAAAAAGUCAUAAAAGAACAAGAAAGUUUUUUCGUAGUUUUUUUGUUUUUGUAACUUUUCUAUAAAAGCUUCAUUUCAGUUUAUAUUUCACAAAAAUGUCAUAAAUAUCACAUAAUAAUGGCCAAUAGACAGUUGAUAUUUCCAAAUGGCCAACAGGCAUAAUAAUUAUAAUUUUGUCUUUAUAGAGCCUAUAGUGUCUUAGGUGAGAUCCAGAGGAGAGUUUUGCUCAAUCUGGCUGAUGCUACAAGCUCUCUCCUACAGCAUGUAUGCAGGAACGAUCACAUUUGCUGCUCAUCAGCCCUGUCUUCUGUCUUUACCAUUAUUUUAUGCCUAACUGACGAAAAUACACAAAAGGCUGAACAUAAAAUAGUUAAAAUUUUUUUACGGACUGGCUUUUUGGUGCACAAUUAGCCUCGAUUCCAAGCCGCUGAGAAAGGCGCACUAUUCAAGGGGCUGGAGUCGAGGCUAGUGCACAAUGCAACUUGAACAUGCUGGUACAUGGUAAAAUAAUGCAAUGUCAACAAAAAAAAGGACUUUGACCUCAAAUAAUGGCUGACAUCAGUAGGACAGGAGUAGUUGGGCGUGGCCCCACCCUGGAUGCGCCUACGUUCGCGUCCAGGGUGGGACCACGCCCAACUAAUUGAACAUGGAUUCACACUCCACAAGUCGGCCUUCUAAGAUGCCCUAGCACUACGCUAUGGCUAUGGCUGGACCCCAACUCGCUUGCCCUCCAAAUGCGACUGUGGCAAAAACUUCAAUGUGGAGCAUGCUCUCUCCUGUGCCAAAGGAGGGUUUCCUACGUUAAGGCAUAAUGAAAUAAGAGAUACCACAGCAUCCCUUCUCACGGAAGUAUGCAGUGAAGUGUGUGUAGAGCCCAACCUACAACCUGUGAGCGCGGACCAACUCAACGGGGCCUCAGCGAACAGCCAAGAAAACGCACGUUUGGAUAUAUCGGCCAAUGGUGUCUGGGGGGGAAGAUUCCAAAAAACAUACUUUGAUAUGAGUGUUUAACCCCCUCGCCCCCUCCAGCAGAAACCAGUCACAUGCAGCAACAUACAGAAAACACGAACUGGAAAAGAAACUGGCUUAUCAGCAAAGAGUCCAGGAACUUGAACACUCCUCUUUCACACCGUUAGUUUUAUCCGUUACAGGAGGCAUGGGCGUAGAAGCAUCACUCUUCUACAAACGCCUGAGCUCACUACUUGCCCAGAAAUGGGACAUCACCUACAAUAAAACUCUAUGCUGGCUAAGAUAUCGCCUAACGUUCUCCCUCCUACGCUCAGCCAUCCAAGCAAUUAGAGGCGCUAGAUCGUCGGUGGGACAUGCAGCCAGGACACCCAUUGAGAUCGACCUGAUCUCAGCAGAAUCCCAUCUCACAGGAUAGUAAUUAAUAUUAACAAUAAUUAUCUACUAUUUUACACGUACCCUUGUCAUACAUGCCAUUCCUAUAAUAUAUUUAUUUUUACCCCACUUGGGCCUGAAAAAAAAAAUUGAGGAGGUCCUCCGAGAUGUGCUGCCUGGAAUUGUUAUUAUGCCUCGAGGCGUAGCCGCACGAGGGAUACCGUAAAGCUGACUGUGUGUGUGUCUGUUCCAGCUGUAACUGCUCAACGGUUGCAAUGCGACGAAAGCUAACAGCUUCUAUAGGCUUCUAGCCACGUUCUCUUGGAUUUUGAUUCGUGGAUUAGCAAACUAAAGCUUCUUUCUCGAGUUAUGGCUAGUUUGACUCACAUUGAAGGCUGUUGCAGUCUCUUCAGAAUCUUUCAUAGCAUCAUCAGUCCGCACAAACUUUCUAUUCAACAUAUGAGUUAGCCUUGCACUAAAGCGCUAGCUUUUUGUUAGCUACAAUACUCAGAAAAUAUCUAGCAGUAGCCAUUUGUGAAAUUGAUCUCUUUGGACACACCCGUUAAUUAUUCCUAUGGAUGUAAUGCGCAUGCGCGCUCAUUCCGAUCCAGUGGCAGAAUCAUCUUUGUCUGAAGGCCUGGUAAGCCACAAAACACUACCAUAUAACAAUAUAGAUAACAAUAUGCAUGUACACAGGUCUUUUCUUCUUAGAUAUUUUAUACACUGAACUACAGAUCCUGGAAGAAUCAAUUUUCUUCUUUCUUGAGGUCCUGGUAAGCCACAUAGAUUUAAUACAACAAUAGAUGCAUGUAAAUAAGUCUUUUCUUCUCAGUGACUUUAUAUAGAUAAACUAACUUUAAUAUAAAAUUCAUUAUAGAAACUAAUAUAACACUCUAAUACUUUUCAGCGAAAGCAAAAACAUGGCGAGAGGCAUUAGCACAGCGCCAGCUUGAACACUAGUUAUUGCCAAACGAAGAGAAAAGGAAGCAGAGAGACUGUCUUUGUAUCCAGCACCAGUACUAAAAUCAAAACAAAAAGAUCUCAUUCCAUCUACUGCCUCUGAUUCUGAAACAGAAAUUGAACAUGAUGUUCCAUUCUCCCACCAACUCAACACUGGUAGUGGCUUUGGUACUGAGAAUACACUUCCUAUUUCUGAGCAGAAUAUUGGGGUCACUGUGAGCGAAGAAAAGGAUAUGCAAACGCUCAGCAAAGACCAAAUUCAAGGUGAUGAAGUGCAAGCCCUGAGUAGAAUGGAUGGCGAUAGGGGUAAAGAGAACCCAACACCAAACGGGGAGUUGCUAUCUGAUGUGAAUAAUGGCAGCAGAGAUGUUGUGUGUGGAGAAAAAGAAGAUGUAUAUCUGUCUAUUGUUCAGUAACCCUCAACAAUCAACCAUUUAGUGAUAGAGAAACUGAUGUGAUGUGUACAUGAAGUAUCAAAUUAUAAAUUGUUACGUAGCCUUUACUUACGAAAUCAUUAUGUUUCCCUGCUGUCAUUUGAAAACAUUGA
Halichondria panicea is the source of this 3149-nucleotide long non-coding RNA. RefSeq lists it as uncharacterized. The record is from RefSeq and is a predicted model, not a curated record. NCBI's taxonomy places the organism in Eukaryota, Metazoa, Porifera, Demospongiae, Suberitida, Halichondriidae. The transcript has 3 exons.